RNAcentral lists this ribosomal RNA (401 nucleotides) under uncultured bacterium. Its description in RNAcentral is "bacterial SSU rRNA". It matches the Rfam family "Bacterial small subunit ribosomal RNA", at positions 64 to 507 of the family's 1533-position model. The record is from RNAcentral.
GAGCGGGCGUAGCAAUACGUCAGCGGCAGACGGCGUGAGUAACGCGUGGGAACGUACUUUCUGUUUCGGUACAACUGAGGGACAUUUGGGAUAAUACCGGAUAAGCCCUAACGGGGAAAGAUUUAUCGCCGAAAGAUCGGCCCGCGUCUGAUUAGCCAGUUGGUGAGGUAACGGCUCACCAAGGCGACGAUCAGUAGAUGGUAUGAGAGGAUGAUCAGCCACAUUGGGAUUGAGACACGGCCCAAACUCCUACGGGAGGCAGCAGUGGGGAAUAUUGGACAAUGGGCGCAAGCCUGAUCCAGCCAUCCUGCGUGAGUGAUGAAGGCCAUAGGGUUGUAAAGCUCUUUUGUGCGGGAAGAUAAUGACGGUACCGCAAGAAUCAAGCCCCGGCUAACUUCGUG